GCACUGUGGUUCUGCUCAUUUUAUGUGUUUUACUUGUUUUUAUCCAUUGUAUUGUGCUUUUGAGUGUGUUGGGGUGUUUUUAAUGCAUGUGUGGUUUUUAAAUUUUGUCUUACAGCCGUGACAAAAGAUGAAUUUAUGU
Long non-coding RNA from Sphaeramia orbicularis (orbiculate cardinalfish), 139 nucleotides. RefSeq lists it as uncharacterized. NCBI's taxonomy places the organism in Eukaryota, Metazoa, Chordata, Actinopteri, Kurtiformes, Apogonidae. The record is from RefSeq and is a predicted model, not a curated record. The transcript has 3 exons.